UACAGAGGUCUCAAGCGUUGUUCGGAUUCAUUGGGCGUAAAGGGUGUGUAGGUGGCGCGCUAAGUCGGGUGUGAAAUUUCGGAGCUUAACUCCGAAACUGCAUUCGAUACUGGCGUGCUUGAGGACUGGAGAGGAGACUGGAAUUCAUGGUGUAGUAGUGAAAUGCGCAGAUAUCAGGAAGAACACCCGUGGCGAAGGCGGUUCUCUGGGACGGUACUGACGCUGAGACGCGAAAGCGUGGGGAGCGAACAGG
RNAcentral lists this ribosomal RNA (253 nucleotides) under uncultured bacterium. RNAcentral describes it as "partial 16S ribosomal RNA". It matches the Rfam family "Bacterial small subunit ribosomal RNA", at positions 524 to 776 of the family's 1533-position model. The record is from RNAcentral.